UACAGAGGUCCCAAGCGUUGUUCGGAUUUACUGGGCGUAAAGGGUGCGUAGGUGGUCGGGUAAGUCUGAUGUGAAAUCUUCGAGCUCAACUCGGAAACUGCAUUGGAAACUACUCGGCUUGAGAGUUGGAGGGGGGACUGGAAUUCUCGGUGUAGCAGUGAAAUGCGUAGAUAUCGAGAGGAACACCAGUGGCGAAGGCGAGUCCCUGGACAACUUCUGACACUGAGGCACGAAAGCUAGGGGAG
This 245-nucleotide ribosomal RNA is filed under the name uncultured bacterium. RNAcentral describes it as "partial 16S ribosomal RNA". It matches the Rfam family "Bacterial small subunit ribosomal RNA", at positions 524 to 768 of the family's 1533-position model. The record is from RNAcentral.